CCCCGGCUGCGGCUCCCCCGCAUUGCCGCCCGCACAAAGCCCCGCUCCGCCCCCGGCCCGCGGCGCCAUGGGACUCGUAGUCCCGCUGCUGGACGGGGGGAGGGAGUGCCUGGAAAAGGGAUAAGAGUUGUGCCAGAGGCACGGCGAGGGAAGUGCCGCAGAAGUGAUGCUCUGGGAAUCCUGCAAAGAAAUCGGUACAAGUGGCAGGCAGCUUUUCCCUGGGAGAACCUCUGAAGGGAAAAGAUUGGUUUGUGAAUCUCCAUUUUCCCUGAUGCUCAGCACUUCCAGAUGGAUCCUGAGCUGCUGCUGAAGUUCCAGGUGAUCUGAUAAAAGCUGCAGGCUGAACAUCCCUCCAGGAGUUUAAAACAGAUGCAAAGCUGGGAUGGAGGAUGCCUGAGGAGCACUGGGAUGUGAAGGUGAGCACCUGGAGCUGUGUUGGAGCCCAGAAAUCUGGGAUUUUUGAGGUGAGAUGAAGCACACCUCCCUGGAUCCCCACAUUGCUGCCAUCCCAUGCUGAGCAAACCCAACCCCAGCCUCAUUUCCUGGUGGGAUUCAGCCUGGCCAGGAGCUCCUUCAGGAUUUCUUGGCAGGAAAGCAGGCAGACAAAACACAGCCUUGGAAUUCCCAGCAAGGCCAGGAACUGCAAAUGCUGAGGAAAAUGAGAUAAUGGAGCAGAAAACAGGGCUGGGGAAGGAGUCAAUAUUUAAUAAAGCUGCAAUGUGAGAGCAGGGCAGCACCGAGGUGGGGACACAGGCUGGAGGAGAUGUUGGCUGUACCAACCAGCAGAUCCCAGUCCCUGUUUUCCCUGGGGGAUGGAGGGGCUGGAGCCCAGCCCUCAGCUGGCCCAAAGGCCCUCAGUGGCUCCAGAGGCCAGGGGGACAAUCCAGCCCUUGUCCCCACUGGGUGCUUCCACGUGGGCUUGGCACUCCAACACCCCCAAGUUCCCUUUGUUCUCCCCCCAAAGCUCUCAGCAAACACUCCUCAGGAUGCUUAGGC
Catharus ustulatus (Swainson's thrush) is the source of this 996-nucleotide long non-coding RNA. RefSeq lists it as uncharacterized. The transcript is spliced from 4 exons. NCBI's taxonomy places the organism in Eukaryota, Metazoa, Chordata, Aves, Passeriformes, Turdidae. The record is from RefSeq and is a predicted model, not a curated record.